Molecule: ribosomal RNA, 471 nt
Filed under: uncultured bacterium
Lineage: Bacteria
Description: bacterial SSU rRNA
Rfam family: Bacterial small subunit ribosomal RNA
Source: RNAcentral
GGCGGCGUGCCUAACACAUGCAAGUCGAACGGAGAGUCUAUUGAGGAGACUUCGGUCAACGAGAUAGAUUUCUUAGGUGGCGGACGGGUGAGUAACGCGUGAGCAAUCUGCCUUUCAGAGGGGGAUAACGUUCUGAAAAGAACGCUAAUACCGCAUAACGUAUGAUGGUGGCAUCACCGACAUACCAAAGGAGCAAUCCGCUGAAAGAUGAGCUCGCGUCUGAUUAGAUAGUUGGUGAGGUAACGGCUCACCAAGUCGACGAUCGGUAGCCGACCUGAGAGGGUGAUCGGCCACAUUGGGACUGAGACACGGCCCAAACUCCUACGGGAGGCAGCAGUGGGGAAUAUUGGGCAAUGGGCGAAAGCCUGACCCAGCAACGCCGCGUGAGUGAAGAAGUAUUUCGGUAUGUAAAGCUCUAUCAGCAGGGAAGAAAUGACGGUACCUGACUAAGAAGCCCCGGCUAACUACGUG